CUCAGACUCAAAAUUGUUCCUGUUGCCGCCGCAGCCACCAUAUAUAAAGCGCACGCACUUUCCCUUGGAGAGGUCGAAGUACCAACGAGGCAUCACGGCCCGGCAGGGCCCCGUCAUCGCCUCCUGGGAGCAGACAGCUUUGACAUCAUGAGUAAUUUCCUUGUCUGACAUGGUGCCGUCGCUGCCGGGUUCAGUAGGAUUCUCCUCAUUGUAGUCAUCUCCUUUGAAGGUGUCAUAGUAGUAAUCUCGGUCCUCCACCACUUCCUCCCCUUCUUCCUCAUCCUCAUCAUCCUCAUCCACAGCUGCUUCUGUGAAGUCUUCCAGAUCUGCUUCAGUAGGAAAUUCACUUUUAUAAACAUCAUAGUCUUCCUCUUCAUCUUCCUCUUCCUCUUCCUCUUCAUCUUCCUCUUCCUCUUCUUUUGACACAGAUCCAAUAAUCUUUGUCUGAGGGCAGCACACAUAUUCAGUGCCAUGGAACUGGUCUACCCCACAUGGGAGCAGCAUGCCGUAGCUAUAUAAGGUCAUUCCCUGAGUCAGACAUGCCUCUUUGACUACCGUGUGCCAGUGCUGGUGAUUCUCACACACCUCCAUCCGCUCUUUGUGGAAAAACUGGCACUUUUCUGGAACUAGCAGGACAUCACUUAC
RNAcentral lists this long non-coding RNA (645 nucleotides) under Homo sapiens (human). RNAcentral's name for it is "LNC_000786". The record is from RNAcentral. Lineage: Eukaryota; Metazoa; Chordata; Mammalia; Primates; Hominidae.